GGCGGUUCGUAAACAAAACCAGCUAGGCCUAGAUCUAUAGCUUGAUUGAAGACGAUUAUUAUGACGAGACAUUUUUAAGAUGAUCGAUUUCUGUGAAAAUGAUUACCUGGUUGGCAUUCAUGCAAGCAAGCCCUACAACUUGUAGUACAACUGCCAUGUAUCAACACUCCAUACAAACCAGCUCAGGAUGAUGGGAACUAAGCUGAAUUACUUUACCAGAUUGCCUCUUACGGUAGCAGGGUAUUCAUGGAGCAUUAUCGAGAUGGUAUCAGGAAGAGAGUGUUCGGCAGGUGAAGCGCCACUGCCCAGAAUCAUCUGAGCAGGACAUUGCCCGAGCUAUUUGUCCGAUGCCCUCUCGCCUUAUCCUUGCUGAUCACACUGUCCAACACUACAAUGUCAUCAAGCUGCUCGGAGUGUUUAUGCAGUCCAAUAUCAAAUUGUGUCCUUGUAAUGCCCUUAUUUAACUGUUUAGCAGCUCAAUAAAUAGUGUACAUUCAGAGCUUCUUACUAAAGGUAUUACAAAGUUUUGGUAAGGGGUCUUGAAUUUGGUUCAAAUAAACAUAUUGGAAGCAUAUACUAUCCUACAAUAAUCAGUGAUCGUUGUCGCGGUUGAAAUCGAUUCUAAAGUUAUGAAAUUGUAAAUAAUUAACUUUUUAUGUUGUAUAGCUCCCUCUCAAAGUCAAUAUAUUAAUUAAGCUAUAAAACAAUGUUUCUUGACUAAAAUCGACCAAUUAGCUAUUCCGGUUUGGAAAUUAUAUAUCACAACUACAUAUUCUAAGAUUUUUAUGGUCGCAGUUACCAUUGUAAGGUUAAUUGUUCAAUUUUUCUUUGAAAAAAUACAUCAGUACAACAGAAUUUAAUCAAAUUUGGCAGGGAUUAUUCAUGAGAAAUUAUAGGUUGUUGAGGUACCUUGCCCCUCAACGGAACCCCCGAAAAUGUCCAUACAUGUAUAUAGCAAUUUCUUUACUUUGACUCUAAAACUUAAUGCUGGCACUCAAUAAAAUUUGACAUUUGAGAGGGGAUCUGAAUUUGUUUGUAUCGAUUACCUUGCCCCUCAUGAGGACUCAGGGGCAGUGCUCCCCUAAGGGUCUCUUGUACGUAGUGUUGCCAGAUGUUUAUGCAUGAGGGGGGGGGGGUAUAUUAAAAAAAUAAUCAUCUGUGGUACAUUUUCGAUGUAGGUACCCAAGGGCA
This is a long non-coding RNA of Strongylocentrotus purpuratus (purple sea urchin), 1191 nucleotides long. RefSeq lists it as uncharacterized. The record is from RefSeq and is a predicted model, not a curated record. Lineage: Eukaryota; Metazoa; Echinodermata; Echinoidea; Camarodonta; Strongylocentrotidae. The transcript is spliced from 4 exons.